UCUUUACAGUUCUCAUCAUUUCUUUAUAACUCUCCGAGUCUUCCUUCUGUUCAGCGCAGGUAUCAAUAAAAACAUACCACAAUUAGGGUUUCUGGCAGUUGCAGAACCCGAUUUCUGAGAUUUAGGUCUAGGCUUGGUCUUCCUAUUUACUCAACUUCAACAUCAUCUUCUCUUCUCUCAUCCCAACUUUAAUAUACAAGGCUUUAUCAUUCCCAUAUAUCUUUCCUUCUUUUUAUUUUUUAUUUUAUUUUAUUUCAUGCGGGAACC
This 267-nucleotide long non-coding RNA is filed under the name Lupinus angustifolius (narrow-leaved blue lupine). RNAcentral describes it as "long non-coding RNA (LANG_LNC000355)". Lineage: Eukaryota; Viridiplantae; Streptophyta; Magnoliopsida; Fabales; Fabaceae. The record is from RNAcentral.